Molecule: long non-coding RNA, 679 nt
Organism: Myzus persicae (green peach aphid)
Lineage: Eukaryota; Metazoa; Arthropoda; Insecta; Hemiptera; Aphididae
Exons: 3
Source: RefSeq, a predicted model, not a curated record
UAAGUUAUGUCAAAUAUACAAAGAAACAGAUUUCGCAUAUGGCUUUUACCAACAUUAUCUAUUAAAUUAAUUUUGUUCAUAAAUUAUAUAUUUUUCUUCAUAAUAUUAUUCAUUUAGAAAUACCAUUGUGCAAUGAUAAAGUUGCCUAUGGGUAGACACCAACAGGCUACAAUUCAGUAAAUAUACAAAAUACACCUAUUACUUUCUGGACUAUACGUUUAGAAUUUCCAACCUUCGACAAACUGUUGACCACCAGCAUAAAGCACUCUGAAGAGCCAAUGUGAAAAUAUUGGUUUUAAAAGAUAUCAUAAUAAGUUUGUUUCCAUGGUUGGUUCACCACAAUUGUAAAACGCAAAUCGAUGAUGGAAGAACACUGUUCGGAAAAAUUACACCUCAGCAAAAACAAAUAAAUAACAUAGAUACAAUCCUCAAAAUUAAAGUUUAAAGAAUUUUUACUUCUACUCAAGGUAAAGUCCGAGUAUCAGACACACACACAGACGCCAUUGUAGAACCAACACAUUCAUCACUUCAAUUCGAAUUCAAAAUUAAAUUCACAGGUUUGUUGUUUAUAUAUUACUUAUAAGAAAUAGUAUUUUUCCUAGUAGGUAGUACCUAUAUAUACAUUUAAAUUUUAGUAUCACAAAUCCCUUAAUCACUAUAAAACAAGCCUACUAACAGG